ACGAACGCUGGCGGUGUGCUUAAUACAUGCAAGUCGAACGGAGAUAUUGAUUCGGUUGAUAUCUUAGUGGCGAACGGGUGAGUAACGCGUGAACAACCUGACUCAGAGUGGGGGAUAACAACGGGAAACUGUUGCUAAUACCGCAUAAGACCACGUCCUCGCAUGGGGAAGGGGUCAAAGAUUUAUCGCUUUGAGAGGGGUUCGCGUCCCAUUAGGUAGUUGGAGGGGUAACGGCCCACCAAGCCGACGAUGGGUAGCCGAGCUGAGAGGCUGAUCGGCCACACUGGAACUGAGACACGGUCCAGACUCCUACGGGAGGCAGCAGUAGGGAAUAUUGGGCAAUGGGCGCAAGCCUGACCCAGCAACGCCGCGUGAGGGAAGAAGGUUUUCGGAUUGUAAACCUCUGUCCUAUGUGACGAAGGAAGUGACGGUAGCAUAGGAGGAAGCCCCGGCUAACUACGUGCCAGCCGCAGC
This 474-nucleotide ribosomal RNA is filed under the name uncultured bacterium. Its description in RNAcentral is "bacterial SSU rRNA". It matches the Rfam family "Bacterial small subunit ribosomal RNA", at positions 29 to 518 of the family's 1533-position model. The record is from RNAcentral.